CUCAGGAUGAACGCUAGCGGCAGGCUUAAUACAUGCAAGUCGAGGGGCAGCAUGGUUGUAGCAAUACAACUGAUGGCGACCGGCAAACGGGUGCGGAACACGUACGCAAUCUACCCAAAACUGAUGAAUAGCCCUCCGAAAGGAGGAUUAAUACAUCGUAACUUAAUGAAGUGGCAUCACUUUAUUAAUAUAGCUCCGGCGGUUUUGGAUGAGCGUGCGCCUGAUUAGGUAGUUGGCGGGGUAACGGCCCACCAAGCCAGCGAUCAGUAACUGGUGUGAGAGCACGACCAGUCACACGGGCACUGAGACACGGGCCCGACUCCUACGGGAGGCAGCAGUAAGGAAUAUUGGUCAAUGGACGCAAGUCUGAACCAGCCAUGCCGCGUGAAGGAUGAAGGUCCUCUGGAUUGUAAACUUCUUUUAUAUGGGACGAAACCUCUUAUUCUUAAGAGACUGACGGUACCAUAGGAAUAAGCACCGGCUAACUCCGUGCCAGCAGCCGCGGUAAUACGGAGGGUGCAAGCGUUAUCCGGAUUCACUGGGUUUAAAGGGAGCGUAGGAGGGCAGGUAAGUCAGUGGUGAAAUCUUCGAGCUUAACUCGGAAACUGCCGUUGAUACUAUCUGUCUUGAAUACCGUGGAGAUGAGCGGAAUAUGUCAUGUAGCGGUGAAAUGCUUAGAUAUGACAUAGAACACCAAUUGCGAAGGCAGCUCGUUACACGAAUAUGACUCUGAGGCUCGAAAGCGUGGGGAUCAAACAGGAUUAGAUACCCUGGUAGUCCACGCCCUAAACGAUGGAUACUCGACAUACGCGAUACACAGUGUGUGUCUGAGCGAAAGCAUUAAGUAUCCCACCUGGGAAGUACGACCGCAAGGUUGAAACUCAAAGGAAUUGGCGGGGGUCCGCACAAGCGGUGGAGCAUGUGGU
This 926-nucleotide ribosomal RNA is filed under the name uncultured bacterium. RNAcentral describes it as "bacterial SSU rRNA". It matches the Rfam family "Bacterial small subunit ribosomal RNA", at positions 23 to 945 of the family's 1533-position model. The record is from RNAcentral.